CUAAACUUGCCCAUUAAGUGAGUAGAGAUUGCAGAUAUGUACUGGGUCACUUCUCCUCUGACUUCUGCUGCUGGCUCCCAGGGACCCUGUGGCUUCAGUAACCAGAGUCACAGCUUAAAAACAUCUGUCUCUACAUCCAGCCUUCUUUCCUUCAACAAAAGUGCAUAAGGGGAGAGAUGAAAGGAAAUACUGUGAUGGCAGAGGGUGCAAAGAAUUGAACAGGAGAUAGUAAACAGGAAUCAAGAAAGAGAGCAGGCAAUGGAUGAACAGAAACAUGAGUUCAUAUGAGUCUUGAAAGAAGAAAAUUGAAUAUGAACAUUCAGGAGCCAAUGGGGAUUUGAAUGGCUGAAGCUUCCAAAAUAACAGAUGAUAUGGAAACCACCAGCUAGACAUAGAGGAAUCCUUCUGGGCCUCACUGGCCACAUGGGUUCUUUGGUCAGUCUGCACACAAAUCCUUGGCUAGAUGGAUGACUGCAUCCUUGGCUUGGGAGAUGUGUAUGCGUCAUUUGUUCUUGAAGACAGACUAUCCAAACUGAAUUCCAGAAGAAUUGAUAGUAGAACUCCUUCCAUAGCAAAGCAAGAAUACACUCUUUCCUCUUGCUCUGUUUACCGA
Long non-coding RNA from Ornithorhynchus anatinus (platypus), 613 nucleotides. RefSeq lists it as uncharacterized. The record is from RefSeq and is a predicted model, not a curated record. NCBI's taxonomy places the organism in Eukaryota, Metazoa, Chordata, Mammalia, Monotremata, Ornithorhynchidae. The transcript has 3 exons.